AGAUCUCGGGACGUCCGCGCGGAUCCCGCAGCGCGCGUCACAGCCUUUAGGGCAUCCGGCGGCCCCAAGACACCGCUGCCUAGGGUCUCGCUCUGUCAUCCAGACUGGAGUGCAGUGGCGCAAUCAUAGCUCAAGAACUGCCUGGGCUCAAGCAGUUCUCCUGGCUCAACUUCCAAGUAGCUGGGACUGCAGGCAUGUGACACCACACCUGUCGAGACGAGGUCUUGCCAUGUUGCCCAGCCUGGUUUCAAACUUCUGGGUUCAAGUGAUCCUCCUGCCUUGGCCUCCCAAAGUGUGGAGACUACAGGUAUCAAUGUAACUGGAUUACAAAAUACCUACAGAACUGGUAAAGUAUUACUUCUGGGUAUGUCUCUGAGGCUGUUUCCAGAGAAGAUUGGCAUGUGAGUUGGUGGACUGAGUGGGGAAGAUCCAGUCUCAAUGUAAGCAGGUACCAACCAAUCUACCUGGGCUAUGGGCCGAGAUAGAACAUAAAAGGAGAAAAAAGCUUUCCUCUCUCCUCCUGGAGCUAGGAUACUCUUCUCCUCCUGCCUUUGGACAUCAGAACUCCAGGCUCUCUGGACUUGGGACUCCAGACUCUCUGGACUUGGGACUCCAGGAUUUACUCCAGUGAACCCCUCCAGGUCCUCAGGUCUUUGGCAUUUGACUGAGAAUUACUCUAAAGGCUUCCCUGGCCCUGAGGCUUUUGGACUUGGACUGAGCCACACUACCAGUAUCCUGGUGUCUCCAGCUUGCAGAUGGCCAGUCAUGGGACUUCUCGGCUUCCAUAAUUGCAUGAGCCAAUUCCCCAUCUCUCCGUCCGUCCGUCCAUCCAUCCAUCCAUCCAUCCAUCCAUCCAUCCAUCCAUCAUCCACCCAUCCAUCCUAUUAGUUCUGUCUCUCUGGAAAACUCUGACAAAUAUAUCCUCUAUUACUCUGCUGGACGUCUAGACUUCCCUUGAUGACCCCUUUGUAUAUAAAAAGAAAAUCAACACUGCACACUUGGAAUCCUACCUAACUAAACAGGAAGACUAAAUCAGAACUGAGUUUCUAUCCAUAGAAAUAAUAUUACAAUGUAGAAAAGAAAAGACAAGGGGUCCUAUUCCUUGUCAUUACACAGUGGAAUAGAAAAUAUAUAUUUAAAACUCAUAUACAUUUUUUGUUUAAUUACAUUUUAAAAAACAUUUUAAUUUUACCUGGGAAAUCUUUUGUUUUUCAGAAAUAUUGUUUUCUAAGCACCUCAUGAAAAGAUGGCAAACAUUUUGACUCUCUUUUCUGAAGACCAAUAUUCUACAAAUAAUACUAAUCUUCAACAUCUUAGUUUUAUUAAAUGCUCUUUAAUUUCACUUUGUAAGAUUUCUCCAUCAGACGGUUUACACAUCACCUUUUGAGAUUAUUAAAUAUGAAUUUUGUUAAAGUGAUAUGAAGAUAUUGGCAGUUUGAGAGAUCAUUUGGGUUAUUUUUAUUUAUUUAUUUAUUUUUAGAUGGAGUUUCGCUCUUGUUGCUCAGGCUGGAGUGCAAUGGCACGAUCUCAGCUCACCACAACCUCCACCUCCUGGGUUCAAGCAAUUCUCCUGUCUCAGCCUCCCGAGUAGCUGGGAUUACAGGCAUGCGCCACCACGCUUGGCUAAUUUUUAGUAGAGAUGGGGUUUCUCCACGUUGGUCAGGCUAGUCUUGAACUCCUGACCUGAGGUGAUCCACCUGCCUUGGCCUCCCAAAGUGUUGGAAUUACAGGCGUGAGCCACCGCACCCAGCCAUUUGGGUUAUAAUAGGAAUCUUUCCAUAGUGUCUGUUUCCUUUAAAAUAUAUUUAAGACAUAUGCAUAAGGAGCAUAUACAUACCUGUUUCAAGGUAAGAAAAACCAUGUGUAUAAGGAGUUCCUAAAGUUUAUACUGUUUAAACUCAUAAACAUAAGAUCAGAAGAGACAAAAAACAAAAACCUUAUACUAAACUCAGCAGUUCUGAAUUGUGUUCAUAAUAAACCUUUCCUAAUAGCCUUUUACUUUUUCAUCCAAAACAAAUAACUUGUAGUGAACAAGAAGGAAAGUAGGUUAACUGAAUUUUUUUUUUUUUUUUUUGAGAUGGAGUUUUGCUCUUGUUGCCCAGGCUGGAGUGCAAUGGCGGGAUCUUGACUCACUGCAACCUCCGCUUCCUGGGUUCAAGCAAUUCUCCUGCCUCAGCCUCCCAAGUAGCUGGGAUUACAGGUAUACACUACCAUGCCUGGCUAAUUUUGUAUUUUUUAGUAGAGAUGGGGUUUCACCAUGCUGGUCAGGCUGGUCUUGAACUCUUGACCUCAGGUGACCCACCUGCCUUGGCCUCCCAAAGUGUUGGAAUUACAGGCAUAAGCCACUGCACCCAGCUUAUUAACUUAAUUGUUUAAAGUCUCCUACAUACUUCGUGGAGGAAAGUGAGAUUCUAAUUUUGGGGGUUGGGAUUGGGGAGUAGAGAAGUGGAUAAGAAUGAUGGGCAAAACUUUGGUUCUUAUAUAUAUGCUGCUGCUUUUUAAAAAAUGAAGUUUUUAUUCAAUUGGGAAAAUCAUACUGGGAGAGGGUAACAGUACUAUAAAAAGUUAAUCAUCCAGUCAUGAAUUACAUUUAAAACUGUAAGGUGCAGGAUGGCAAGAGCAGCAAGAAGAUCAACAUUGCCAACUGUGGACAACUCGAAUAAGUUUGACUUGUGUUUCACCUUAACCACCAGACCAUUCCUUCUGUAGCUCAGGAGAGCACCCCUCCACCCCAUUUGCUCACAGUAUCCUACACUCAUUGUGCUCUCACUGCAGUUCCCUUUAGGUUCCGUGUUUUCCUUGUUCCCUUCCAUGCCUAGCUGGAUUGCAGAGUUAAGUUUAUGAUUAUGAAAUAAAAACCAAAUAACAAACAAAACAAAA
This is a long non-coding RNA of Pongo pygmaeus (Bornean orangutan), 2880 nucleotides long. RefSeq lists it as uncharacterized. The transcript is spliced from 3 exons. The record is from RefSeq and is a predicted model, not a curated record. NCBI's taxonomy places the organism in Eukaryota, Metazoa, Chordata, Mammalia, Primates, Hominidae.